CAGUAGCCACGGUAAUACGUAGGUGGCAAGCGUUGUCCGGAAUUAUUAGGCGUAAAGGGCUCGCAGGCGGUUUCUUAGGUCUGAUGUGAAAGCCCCCGGCUCAACCGGGGAGGGUCAUUGGAGACUGGGAAACUUGAGUGCAGACGAGGAGAGUGGAAUUCCACGUGUAGCGGUGAAAUGCGUAGAGAUGUGGAGGAACACCAGUGGCGAAGGCGACUCUCUGGUCUGUAACUGACGCUGAGGAGCGAAAGCGUGGGGAGCGAACAGGAUUAGAUACCCGCGUAGUCCCUGUCUCUUAUAA
RNAcentral lists this ribosomal RNA (301 nucleotides) under uncultured bacterium. RNAcentral's name for it is "partial 16S ribosomal RNA". It matches the Rfam family "Bacterial small subunit ribosomal RNA", at positions 509 to 809 of the family's 1533-position model. The record is from RNAcentral.